GAGACUCUGUGCGCGUGCAUAUCAAUAAGCGGAGGAAAAGAAACUAACAAGGAUUCCCUUAGUAACGGCGAGUGAAGCGGGAAGAGCUCAAAUUUGAAAUCUUAAAGGGUUUCCCUUUACGAAUUGUAGUUUAAAGAAGUGUUUUCUGUUGGAGUUUCGGUAAAAGUUCUUUGGAAUAGGACAUCAUAGAGGGUGAGAAUCCCGUAUUUGACCGUUACUUUCCAGCAGUGUGAUACACUUUCAAAGAGUCGGAUUGUUUGGGAAUGCAGUCCAAGAUGGGUGGUAAAUUUCAUCUAAAGCUAAAUAUUGGCGAGAGACCGAUAGCGAACAAGUACCGUGAGGGAAAGAUGAAAAGAACUUUGAAAAGAGAGUUAAACAGUACGUGAAAUUGUCAAAAGGGAAGCGUUUGACACCAGUGUUGUUUAGUUGAAAAUCAAUUCAAUAGUUUUUGAUUCUAAGUAGUAUUGACUUCAUCAGCUUGCUGCUUUCUUCUCAGAAAUUAUUGAAUGCACUUUUCAGUUAACAAGUCAACAUCAAUUUCUUUUGUUGUAAAAGGGUAAUGAGGAAGGUGGCUUGCGCUUUCGGAUAAAGUGUUUAUAGCCUUUUAUCCUCUGCAAUCGGAGAGAUUGAGGUCUGCAGCGUAGAUCCUUCGGGGUUAGAUACAUUGGUGCUAAGCUAUAGCCUUGUAUAGACAACUUGUUGACUAUGCUCAGUCAUGUAGCUUACUCGCUGAUGCUAUUUUACCUACGCUUAGGAUGUUGACAGCAGUAUAGACUGU
RNAcentral lists this ribosomal RNA (778 nucleotides) under uncultured Neocallimastigales. Its description in RNAcentral is "partial large subunit ribosomal RNA". It matches the Rfam family "Eukaryotic large subunit ribosomal RNA", at positions 23 to 638 of the family's 3401-position model. Lineage: Eukaryota; Fungi; Neocallimastigomycota; Neocallimastigomycetes; Neocallimastigales. The record is from RNAcentral.